RNAcentral lists this ribosomal RNA (498 nucleotides) under uncultured bacterium. Its description in RNAcentral is "partial 16S ribosomal RNA". It matches the Rfam family "Bacterial small subunit ribosomal RNA", at positions 30 to 523 of the family's 1533-position model. The record is from RNAcentral.
AUUGAACGCUGGCGGCAUGCCUUACACAUGCAAGUCGAACGGUAACAGGUCUUCGGAUGCUGGCGAGUGGCGAACGGGUGAGUAAUACAUCGGAACGUGCCUAGUAGUGGGGGAUAACUACUCGAAAGAGUGGCUAAUACCGCAUGAGAUCUACGGAUGAAAGCAGGGGAUCGCAAGACCUUGUGCUACUAGAGCGGCCGAUGGCAGAUUAGGUAGUUGGUGGGGUAAAAGCUUACCAAGCCGACGAUCUGUAGCUGGUCUGAGAGGACGAUCAGCCACACUGGGACUGAGACACGGCCCAGACUCCUACGGGAGGCAGCAGUGGGGAAUUUUGGACAAUGGGCGAAAGCCUGAUCCAGCAAUGCCGCGUGCAGGAUGAAGGCCUUCGGGUUGUAAACUGCUUUUGUACGGAACGAAAAGCCCCGGGUUAAUACCCUGGGGUCAUGACGGUACCGUAAGAAUAAGCACCGGCUAACUACGUGCCAGCCGCCGCAGUAA